Callithrix jacchus (white-tufted-ear marmoset) is the source of this 2341-nucleotide non-coding RNA. The record is from RefSeq and is a predicted model, not a curated record. NCBI's taxonomy places the organism in Eukaryota, Metazoa, Chordata, Mammalia, Primates, Cebidae.
GGGAGGAAGACAGAAAAUCACACUGCCAUGUGUGUACCUGUGCAACAAUCUUGCAUGUUCUUCACAUGUACCCCAAAACCUAAAAUGCAAUAAAAAAUGCAGAAAUGAAUUGAGUGGGUGGCAAAUGCCUGUAAUCCCAGCUACUCGGGAGGCUGAGGCAGGAGACUCGCUUGAACCUGGGAUGUAGAGGUUGCAGUGAGCCAAGAUUUACCACUGCACUCCAGCCUGGGUGACAGAGUGAGACUCUGUCUCAAAAAAAAAAAAAAAGAUAUUUUAGAUUCUAAGCCAGCACACAUACAUAUAAUUGAUAACUGAAAGGGAAAAUUUUAAACGUAUGUACCCGGCAGACGACCAGGUUUGGCUGUGAUGCUGCUGCCCGGGUCAGAAUGUCAUACCCAGGCUAUCCCCCAACAGGCUACCUACCUUUCCCUGGGUAUCCUCCUGCAGGUCAGGGGUCAUCUUUUCCCCCUUCUGGUCAGUAUCCUUAUCCUUGUGGCUUUCCUCCAAUGGGGGGAGGUGCCUACCCACAAGUGCCAAGUGGUGGCUAUCCAGGAGCUGGAGGCUACCCUGCGCCUGGAGGUUAUCCAGCCCCUGGAGGCUAUCCUGGUGCCCCACAGCCAGGGGGAGCUCCAUCCUAUCCUGGAGUUCCUCCAGGCCAUGGAUUUGGAGUUCCACCAGGUGGAGCAGGCUUUUCUGGCUAUCCACAGCCACCUUCACAGUCUUAUGGAGGUGGUCCAGCACAGGUCCCACUGCCUGGUGGCUUUCCUGGAGGACAGAUGCCUUCUCAGUAUCCUGGAGGACAGCCUACUUACCCUAAUCAGCCUGCUGCAAUGACUCACGGCACUCAAGGAACUAUCCAACCAGCUGCCCACUUCAAUGCUAUGAGAGAUGCAGAAAUUCUCCGUAAGGCAAUGAAGGGUUUUGGGACAGACGAACAGGCAAUUGUGGAUGUAGUGGCCAACCGUUCCAAUAAUCGGAGGCAAAAAGUUAAAGCAGCAUUUAAGACCUCAUAUGGCAAGGAUUUAAUCAAAGAUCUCAAAUCAGAGUUAAGUGGAAAUAUGGAAGAACUGAUCCUGGCCCUAUUCAUGCCUCUUACGUAUUACGAUGCCUGGAGCUUACGGAAAGCGAUACAGGGAGCAGGAACUCAGGAACGUGUAUUGAUUGAAAUUUUGUGCACCCGAACAAAUCAGGAAAUCCGAGAAACUGUCAGAUGUUAUCAGUCAGAAUUUGGACGGGACCUUGAAAAGGACAUUAGGUCAGAUACAUCAAGGACAUUUUGAUCGCUUACUUAUGUCCAUGUGCCAGGGAAAUCAUGAUGAAAACCAGAGUGUAAACCACCAAAUGGCUCAGGAAGAUGCUCAGCGUCUCUAUCAAGCUAGCGAGGGGAGACUAGGGACCGAUGAAUCUUGCUUUAACAUGAUCCUUGCCACGAGAAGCUUUAAGGUGAGAGCUGAGAGCUACCAUGGAGGCUUAUUCCAGGAUGGCUAAUCAAGAUUUGUUAAGCAGUGUGAGCCUUGAGUUUUCCAGAUAUGUGGAAAGUGGUUUGAAGACCAUCUUGCAGCGUGCCCUGAACCGCCCUGCCUUCUUUGCUGAGAGGCUCUACUACACUAUGAAAGGUGCUGGCACAGAUGACUCCACCCUGGUCAGGACUGUGGUCACUCGAGGUGAGAUUGAUCUUGUACAAAUAAAACAAAUGUUCCCUCAGAUGUAUCAGAAGACCCUGGGCACAAUGAUUGCAGGUGACACGAGUGGAGAUUACCGGACACUUCUUCUGGCUAUUGUGGGCCAGAGCUUUUCAUAAAUGAAGCUAUUCAUAGCUUCUCCUUCAGAGCAAUGACCUGCAUGCAGCAAUAUCAACCUCAGCUAACCAAAAGAGCUUUCUAUCAGGGACCAUAUCAGGGUAAUGUGCUUGGUUUGCACAUAUUGUUAUUGCCUUAAUUCUAAUGUGAUUUCGUUCUCUACAUGUAAUCAACGUAAAGCCAUGUCACAAUGAUACAGUAAUAUUGCAACGUUUGUAAAGCUUCAUUCUUACUAGUUUCAUUCUAAUCAAGAUGUCAAAUGGAAUAAAAAAUCACAGCAAUUUCUAAUUCUGUGUAAUAAUACUGACUAAUUUUUUUGGGUUGCUGAAAGCUCUGCCUUCCAGAAUCCCUCUAGGUCUGCUUGAUAGAGUGGGUAGUAUGUCAUAACUGUGUACUUUUAAAAAUAUUCAUCCCUUUACAUCUAGAAGAAUAAUUUACAUCUUAUUUUGCAUAAAUUUGUUCUAUAUUCACAAACACUUUCCACAUAAAAAAUAGAUUACUAUUACUGUAGCACCUUUUAAGAAAGGGUCAUGUUUAUAUGC